ACCUGGCUGGCUUAGUUGGUAGAGCUUGUGACUUUUGAUCUUAAGGUUGUAGGUUCAAGCCCCAUGUUGGGCA
This is a non-coding RNA of Hyaena hyaena (striped hyena), 73 nucleotides long. Lineage: Eukaryota; Metazoa; Chordata; Mammalia; Carnivora; Hyaenidae. The record is from the annotation of a RefSeq genome assembly.